UGAACGCGAAGAACCUUACCAAGUCUUGACAUCCCGAUGACAAGCUAUGUAAUGUAGCCUCUCUUCGGAGCAUCGGUGACAGGUGGUGCAUGGUUGUCGUCAGCUCGUGUCGUGAGAUGUUGGGUUAAGUCCCGCAACGAGCGCAACCCCUGUUCUUAGUAGCCAGCGGUUCGGCCGGGCACUCUAGGGAGACUGCCAGGGAUAACCUGGAGGAAGGCGGGGAUGACGUCAAAUCAUCAUGCCCCUUAUGACUUGGGCUACACACGUGCUACAAUGGCGUAAACAAAGGGAAGCGGAGCCGUGAGGCCGAGCAAAUCUCAAAAAUAACGUCUCAGUUCGGACUGUAGUCUGCAACCCGACUACACGAAGCUGGAAUCGCUAGUAAUCGCAGAUCAGAAUGCUGCGGUGAAUACGUUCCCGGGUCUUGUACACACCG
RNAcentral lists this ribosomal RNA (436 nucleotides) under uncultured bacterium. Its description in RNAcentral is "bacterial SSU rRNA". It matches the Rfam family "Bacterial small subunit ribosomal RNA", at positions 956 to 1392 of the family's 1533-position model. The record is from RNAcentral.